RNAcentral lists this ribosomal RNA (624 nucleotides) under Triticum aestivum (bread wheat). RNAcentral describes it as "partial small subunit ribosomal RNA". Lineage: Eukaryota; Viridiplantae; Streptophyta; Magnoliopsida; Poales; Poaceae. The record is from RNAcentral.
AUGGAGAGAAACUACAUGUUCACGGAGAAGAGACAGGAAGAGGAAGAGAGAGCAAUACCUCAAGGAGUCAUCAUCCAUGGAUGCACAGCCGGGCCACCGCGUCCAUCCUCUCGCCACCUGACGCAACAGCUGCUCCUCAAGGAGUCGCUCAUGGAGGCCGCACGCGAGGAGGACGGCGGCGGCCGUGGUGACGACAAGCUGCCGCAAGUGGUGUUUGACCGCAUCCUUCGGCGUCAGGUGGUGUAUGACAUGCUCAAGGACGGGGGCAGGCACAUCGGUGCUCGGCACCGCCUAUUGCUCCUUGUCACCGCCACACAGAUGCAGCAGCUCCCCACAGCCGCACAGAUCCGGCAGCUUCUCACCGCCACAGUUCCUCUUCCUGCAGCUCCUCCUACUCUAGCAGCUCCUCUGGCGGUAAAAAUCAAAUCUUGGGACAACGAAGCAGGGAUGAUGCGAGAGAUGACGCGAGAGAAAGAGGGCAGCGGCGACGUGGUUAAGGGAGAUGCACUGAUGGCCACUGACGCAACGAUGCAGGCGAGGGAGAUGCGGCUGCUACGCGGGCGAGGGAGAUGCGCGGCGAGGCGGGCGAGGGAGAUGCGGCGGCGCCACGGGGGAGGGAGACGU